GCCUUGCUAGCUCAAUCGGUAGAGCGUGAGACUCUUAUAGGUCUUCCUUAGUGGUAUCUCAAGGUUGCGGGUUCGACCCCCGCGUGGGGCU
Molecule: transfer RNA, 91 nt
Organism: Sphaerobolus stellatus SS14
Lineage: Eukaryota; Fungi; Basidiomycota; Agaricomycetes; Geastrales; Sphaerobolaceae
Rfam family: tRNA
About the family: Transfer RNA (tRNA) molecules are approximately 80 nucleotides in length. Their secondary structure includes four short double-helical elements and three loops (D, anti-codon, and T loops).
Source: Rfam